AUGAGGCUCAGUUGGUAGAGUGCAUGCCUAGCAUGCAUGGAGCCCUGGGUUCCAUCCCCAGACCACAUA
This 69-nucleotide transfer RNA is filed under the name Neotoma lepida (desert woodrat). It matches the Rfam family "tRNA". From Rfam's summary of the family: Transfer RNA (tRNA) molecules are approximately 80 nucleotides in length. Their secondary structure includes four short double-helical elements and three loops (D, anti-codon, and T loops). The record is from Rfam by way of RNAcentral. Lineage: Eukaryota; Metazoa; Chordata; Mammalia; Rodentia; Cricetidae.